AAGUCGUAACAAGGUUUCCGUAGGUGAACCUGCGGAAGGAUCAUUAACACAUCCAAACGUUAAACCCCCCUGUGAACUUCAGCCGUACUCGUACGUCCGUGAGAAAAAGCAGCAAUCUGGUAAAUCAUCGCCGAACAGUUUUCGAUUCGAGGGACGUCUGCCAUGUUGUGCGUGUAAGUGGCCUGGCAUCCCCGCAGUUGGUGUCUGAAAGUGUCACUAACGUUAGUGUCUGAAAGUGUCACUAACAUGUUAAGGAUGACGCAGUCACGUUGGAGGCCCACACGGCGACCGGGUCACCGGGCGCAAGCCCCCUUAUCACACCCAUGCUCUAUCUCUGGUGAUCCUGCGGGAAGUUCUGCGGUCGAACGACGAAACCGAACAGAACAACUGUUAACAAUGGAUAUCUUGGUUCUC
RNAcentral lists this unclassified non-coding RNA (414 nucleotides) under fungal sp. RNAcentral describes it as "partial internal transcribed spacer region". The stretch from base 1 to 46 matches the Rfam family "Eukaryotic small subunit ribosomal RNA", at positions 1786 to 1831 of the family's 1831-position model. Lineage: Eukaryota; Fungi. The record is from RNAcentral.